AGAGCGAACGCUGGCGGCAGGCUUAACACAUGCAAGUCGAGCGGGCGUAGCAAGUACGUCAGCGGCAGACGGGUGAGUAACGCGUGGGAACAUACCUUUUGGUUCGGAACAACACAGGGAAACUUGUGCUAAUACCGGAUAAGCCCUUACGGGGAAAGAUUUAUCGCCGAAAGAUUGGCCCGCGUCUGAUUAGCUAGUUGGUGAGGUAACGGCUCACCAAGGCGACGAUCAGUAGCUGGUCUGAGAGGAUGAUCAGCCACAUUGGGACUGAGACACGGCCCAAACUCCUACGGGAGGCAGCAGUGGGGAAUAUUGGACAAUGGGCGCAAGCCUGAUCCAGCCAUGCCGCGUGAGUGAUGAAGGCCCUAGGGUUGUAAAGCUCUUUUGUGCGGGAAGAUAAUGACGGUACCGCAAGAAUAACGCCCCGGCUAACUUCGUGCCAGCAGCCGC
This 450-nucleotide ribosomal RNA is filed under the name uncultured bacterium. RNAcentral's name for it is "SSU rRNA". It matches the Rfam family "Bacterial small subunit ribosomal RNA", at positions 26 to 518 of the family's 1533-position model. The record is from RNAcentral.